Molecule: long non-coding RNA, 1429 nt
Filed under: Heterocephalus glaber (naked mole-rat)
Lineage: Eukaryota; Metazoa; Chordata; Mammalia; Rodentia; Bathyergidae
Description: lncRNA (ENSHGLG00100037610.1)
Source: RNAcentral
UACAGUUUCCCAAUUUUUCAGAAAAGAAUACUGACAUUUUAAUUUCUGUAAUUCUUCUUCCUUUUGACAUGGACAUUCCUGAACAGUAAAAGCAAAGUAAUGGCUGUCUUUGGUUUCACUCAUGUAUCCAUCCAUUCAUUGAGCUACUGACGUAUCCAUCCAUCCACCCACCUAUCCAUUUACUCAUUCUUCAUUCAACAAAUAUCUUGUAAUUCCUUUAAGAAAGAGUCCAUAGAAAUGUGGACAGAAGAGGAGUAGAAAACUACAGCUAAACAAAAAAAAGAAAAAAAAGAAGCAAGCUACAGUUAACAGUGUGAGGCAGGCUUUUAGAGAGUCUGCCAAUAGGUAGGAAUGGACCUUCUAGAAGAAGGGAAGUAAAUGUCCCACUUCACUUGGAUCACAGGUGAAUUCUGAGUGGGUGUGAAGUAACUGUCAAACAUACACAUCCAGAGGAAAGGCUGGAGUGCUGCAGAAAGUUGAAGCUGUCCUCUGAACAUAUUGAGUUAACUGGUGACGUUUUAUACAGAGAAAGGAAGAUUUAGGACACAUGACAUGGCUGAUUUCAAGUAUUUGAAAGACCAGCUUAGAAAAGCAGAGUGAAUAUGUUCUCCAGCAUCUGAGGAAACAAAACACAGCCAGCAGACGAAAGCUCGAUGAGGGAAGAUUUUGUCUGAUUGUAAAGAGGAGCUUUCUAGCAGUCACAGCGAUGCAGAGACUAAAGAGCUGCUCUGGGAGGUGGUGAGCAUUCUUUCACCAGGGACUCAAGUGGAGGCCACUGAGGGUUGAAAAGGGGAUUCAACACUGGUAGGAUAUUUGAAUCAAAAGAAGAGAAAAGACCCCAGAGUUUCCACGAGCCAUCAGCUGUGUGACGGCAGAGUCUGCCUGGCCUUGAGUGAUUUUCGCUUGCUCCAAGUUGUCCACCACUUUGUCAGGGUUUGAGAGAACAUCUGCUGCUUUCCUAAGUCCACAGGCACCAGAUACGGAGAUCUCUGGACUCAAAAACGCCUGGAGCAGAGUGAAGCAAGCUAGGGAGCCUUUAGCCCUCCGACUGCGCGGAGGCCCUGAGCAGUGGGCUGAAGACAAAUCAGCCGCCUCACCCCAAGGCCUCGGCCCCGCCCGAGCAAUCUCCCCUUUCUCCCCGUCAGGAAUCCGCCCUCCCUCCGGAGCUCAGACCCACCGCACCAUUGUCAUCUCACUUCGGUCACAUUCCUAGGGCAUUGGUGUGUGUUCCUUCCAUUUCUGCCACUAUAUAUUUUAAAAAUAGGUAUUCAUUUUUGUUUAGAUUUCCAAUGUACUACUCAUCAUAGGAAAUUUAGAGUACCAAAAAAAUGUAAAGAAGAAAAAAAUGCACCAGUAAUCCUACUACCUUAGACGAUAUUGGCAUAUUUGAGCAUUUUGUCCUAACUUCUUUUUCCUUUGCAUGACUGAG